This 800-nucleotide ribosomal RNA is filed under the name uncultured bacterium. Its description in RNAcentral is "bacterial SSU rRNA". It matches the Rfam family "Bacterial small subunit ribosomal RNA", at positions 8 to 796 of the family's 1533-position model. The record is from RNAcentral.
AGAGUUUGAUCCUGGCUCAGGACGAACGCUGGCGGCGUGCCUAAUACAUGCAAGUCGAGCGGAUCUUGUCCUUCGGGACAAGAUUAGCGGCGGACGGGUGAGUAACACGUAGGUAACCUGCCCGUAAGACUGGGAUAACAUUCGGAAACGAAUGCUAAUACCGGAUACACAGCUUGGUCGCAUGACCGAGCUGGGAAAGAUGGAGCAAUCUAUCACUUACGGAUGGACCUGCGGCGCAUUAGUUAGUUGGUGAGGUAACGGCUCACCAAGGCGACGAUGCGUAGCCGACCUGAGAGGGUGAUCGGCCACACUGGGACUGAGACACGGCCCAGACUCCUACGGGAGGCAGCAGUAGGGAAUCUUCCGCAAUGGACGAAAGUCUGACGGAGCAACGCCGCGUGAGUGAUGAAGGUUUUCGGAUCGUAAAGCUCUGUUGCCAGGGAAGAACGCUUGGGAGAGUAACUGCUCCCAAGGUGACGGUACCUGAGAAGAAAGCCCCGGCUAACUACGUGCCAGCAGCCGCGGUAAUACGUAGGGGGCAAGCGUUGUCCGGAAUUAUUGGGCGUAAAGCGCGCGCAGGCGGCCUUGUAAGUCUGUUGUUUAAACUCGGGGCUCAACCCCGAGUCGCAAUGGAAACUGCAAAGCUUGAGUGCAGAAGAGGAAAGUGGAAUUCCACGUGUAGCGGUGAAAUGCGUAGAGAUGUGGAGGAACACCAGUGGCGAAGGCGACUUUCUGGGCUGUAACUGACGCUGAGGCACGAAAGCUAGGGUAGCAAACGGGAUUAGAUACCCCGGUAGUCC